CAGUCGCCGCGGUAAUACGAAGGGUGCAAGCGUUAAUCGGAAUUACUGGGCGUAAAGCGCGCGUAGGUGGUUUGUUAAGUUGGAUGUGAAAUCCCCGGGCUCAACCUGGGAACUGCAUUCAAAACUGACUGACUAGAGUAUGGUAGAGGGUGGUGGAAUUUCCUGUGUAGCGGUGAAAUGCGUAGAUAUAGGAAGGAACACCAGUGGCGAAGGCGACCGCCUGGACUAAUACUGACACUGGGGUGCGAAAGCGUGGGGAGCAAACAGGAUUAGAUACCCCUGUAGUCCCUGUCUCUUAUAC
This 301-nucleotide ribosomal RNA is filed under the name uncultured bacterium. Its description in RNAcentral is "partial 16S ribosomal RNA". It matches the Rfam family "Bacterial small subunit ribosomal RNA", at positions 509 to 807 of the family's 1533-position model. The record is from RNAcentral.